Molecule: ribosomal RNA, 645 nt
Filed under: uncultured Actinomycetes bacterium
Lineage: Bacteria; Bacillati; Actinomycetota; Actinomycetes
Description: bacterial SSU rRNA
Rfam family: Bacterial small subunit ribosomal RNA
Source: RNAcentral
CGCGGCCUAUCAGCUUGUUGGUGGGGUAAUGGCCUACCAAGGCGGCGACGGGUAGCCGGCCUGAGAGGGUGGACGGCCACAUUGGGACUGAGAUACGGCCCAGACUCCUACGGGAGGCAGCAGUGGGGAAUAUUGCACAAUGGGCGCAAGCCUGAUGCAGCGACGCCGCGUGGGGGAUGACGGCCUUCGGGUUGUAAACUCCUUUCGCUAGGGACGAAGCUUUUUGUGACGGUACCUAGAUAAGAAGCACCGGCUAGCUACGUGCCAGCAGCCGCGGCAAUACGUAGGGUGCGAGCGUUGUCCGGAAUUACUGGGCGUAAAGGGCUCGUAGGUGGUUUGUCGCGUCGUCUGUGAAAUUCCGGGGCUUAACUCCGGGCGUGCAGGCGAUACGGGCAUAACUUGAGUACUGUAGGGGUAACUGGAAUUCCUGGUGUAGCGGUGAAAUGCGCAGAUAUCAGGAGGAACACCGAUGGCGAAGGCAGGUUACUGGGCAGUUACUGACGCUGAGGAGCGAAAGCAUGGGUAGCGAACAGGAUUAGAUACCCUGGUAGUCCAUGCCGUAAACGGUGGGCGCUAGGUGUGAGGGUCUUUUCACGACUUUCGUGCCGUAGCUAACGCAUUAAGCGCCCCGCCUGGGGAGUACGG